This 497-nucleotide ribosomal RNA is filed under the name uncultured bacterium. RNAcentral describes it as "partial 16S ribosomal RNA". It matches the Rfam family "Bacterial small subunit ribosomal RNA", at positions 28 to 507 of the family's 1533-position model. The record is from RNAcentral.
GAUGAACGCUGGCGGCGUGCUUAAUACAUGCAAGUCGAGCGAAAAGACGCUGCGCUUGCUCCUCUGUCGUUUGCGGCGCACGGGUGUGUAACACGUGGAUCCUCUACCUAUCAGACUGGGAUAACUACGGGAAACCGGAUCUAAUACCGGAUAAUAUAUUGAAGCGCAUGGUUCAAUAGUGAAAGUCGGCUUUGCUGUCUCUUAUCGCGGCUUCCCCGCGGCAUUAGCUAGUUGGUACGGUAACGGCUUAUCACGGCUACGAUGCGUGGCCGACGUGCGAGAGGGAUCGGCGACACGGGAGCGUAGACGGGGACCAGACGCCUACGGGAGGCAGCAGUAGGGAAUCUGCCGCAAUGGGCGAAAGCCUGACGGAGCAACGCCGCGUGAGUGAUGAAGGCCUUCGGUGCGUAAAACUCGGUUAUUAGUAAAAAACAAAUGUGGAAGUAACUAUGCACGUCUUGACGGUACCUAAUCAGAAAGCCCCGGCUAACUACGUG